RNAcentral lists this ribosomal RNA (181 nucleotides) under uncultured soil bacterium. RNAcentral's name for it is "partial 16S ribosomal RNA". It matches the Rfam family "Bacterial small subunit ribosomal RNA", at positions 347 to 540 of the family's 1533-position model. The record is from RNAcentral.
GGCAGCAGUGGGGAAUAUUGCACAAUGGGCGAAAGCCUGAUGCAGCGACGCCGCGUGAGGGAUGACGGCCUUCGGGUUGUAAACCUCUUUCAGUAGGGAAGAAGCGAAAGUGACGGUACCUGCAGAAGAAGCGCCGGCUAACUACGUGCCAGCAGCCGCGGUAAUACGUAGGGCGCAAGCG